GGUUGACCUCGGAUCAGGUAGGGAUACCCGCUGAACUUAAGCAUAUCAAUAAGCGGAGGAAAAGAAACCAACAGGGAUUGCCUCAGUAACGGCGAGUGAAGCGGCAACAGCUCAAAUUUGAAAUCUGGCCCUUGCAGGGUCCGAGUUGUAAUUUGUAGAGGAUGCUUCGGGUCCGGCUCCGGUCUAAGUUCCUUGGAACAGGACGUCACAGAGGGUGAGAAUCCCGUACGUGACCGGCCGCCACGCCCGUGUGAAGCUCCUUCGACGAGUCGAGUUGUUUGGGAAUGCAGCUCAAAAUGGGUGGUAAAUUUCAUCUAAAGCUAAAUACCGGCCAGAGACCGAUAGCGCACAAGUAGAGUGAUCGAAAGAUGAAAAGCACUUUGGAAAGAGAGUUAAAAAGUACGUGAAAUUGUUGAAAGGGAAGCGCUUGCAACCAGACUUGCCCGCGGGUGAUCAGCCGGUAUUCUUACCGGUGCACUCGCCCGUGGUCAGGCCAGCAUCGGUUUGGGCGGCUGGACAAAGGCCCCCGGAAUGUAGCUCCUCUCGGGGAGUGUUAUAGCCGGAGGUGCAAUGCAGCCAGCCCGGACCGAGGACCGCGCUUCGGCUAGGAUGCUGGCGUAA
This 621-nucleotide small RNA is filed under the name Myriospora rhagadiza. RNAcentral's name for it is "eukaryotic LSU rRNA". It matches the Rfam family "Eukaryotic large subunit ribosomal RNA", at positions 1 to 634 of the family's 3401-position model. Lineage: Eukaryota; Fungi; Ascomycota; Lecanoromycetes; Acarosporales; Acarosporaceae. The record is from RNAcentral.